RNAcentral lists this non-coding RNA (86 nucleotides) under Paenibacillus sp. PDC88. RNAcentral's name for it is "GEMM cis-regulatory element". It matches the Rfam family "c-di-GMP-I riboswitch aptamer". Rfam says of the family: GEMM was predicted in a large-scale screen for bacterial structured RNA regulatory elements. Genes associated with GEMM are involved in a diverse array of functions, including chemotaxis regulation, signal transduction, secretion and chitin. Lineage: Bacteria; Bacillati; Bacillota; Bacilli; Caryophanales; Paenibacillaceae. The record is from RNAcentral.
UUGAAUACGUGGCAAAGCUGUUGAAAAGCAGUGACGCAAAGCUAGAGGGACUACUUCCGUGAAGGAAAUGUCAGCCAGUUGCUUGA